GCAUACAAAGUUUCAUAUAUUACACCAGUUUCAUCCACGUGCAUACAAAGUUUCAUAUAUUCAUAUACUACAAUAGUUUCAAUACAACCCAUGUUACAAGAAAUCAUCUUCAAGCAUUCCAUCAAUAUUUUCCAAGCUUUCCGUGAAGUGAAGGUAAUCUGCAAAAUGACAAAUAAGAAAGUUAGAAGAAUAAUACUAGAUGAAGUAGUGUAUAUAUAGGUUAUUUCGGAGAGAAAUUAGCUAAGUAUAGACCAUUUAGGAGCUAACUAAGCUAAU
This 276-nucleotide long non-coding RNA is filed under the name Hordeum vulgare. RNAcentral's name for it is "long non-coding RNA (HVUL_LNC003248)". The record is from RNAcentral. Lineage: Eukaryota; Viridiplantae; Streptophyta; Magnoliopsida; Poales; Poaceae.